This 468-nucleotide ribosomal RNA is filed under the name uncultured bacterium. RNAcentral describes it as "partial 16S ribosomal RNA". It matches the Rfam family "Bacterial small subunit ribosomal RNA", at positions 28 to 507 of the family's 1533-position model. The record is from RNAcentral.
GACGAACGCUGGCGGCGUGCUUAACACAUGCAAGUCGAACGGAAAGGCCCUGCUUUUGUGGGGUGCUCGAGUGGCGAACGGGUGAGUAACACGUGAGUAACCUGCCCUUGACUUUGGGAUAACUUCAGGAAACUGGGGCUAAUACCGGAUAGGAGCCCCUGUUGCAUGGUGGGGGUUGGAAAGUUUCGGCGGCUGGGGAUGGACUCGCGGCUUAUCAGCUUGUUGGUGGGGUAGUGGCUUACCAAGGCUUUGACGGGUAGCCGGCCUGGGAGGGUGACCGGCCACAUUGGGACUGAGAUACGGCCCAGACUCCUACGGGGGGCAGCAGUGGGGAAUAUUGCACAAUGGGCGGAAGCCUGAUGCAGCAACGCCGCGUGCGGGAUGACGGCCUUCGGGUUGUAAACCGCUUUCGCCUGUGACGAAGCGUGAGUGACGGUAAUGGGUAAAGAAGCACCGGCUAACUACGUG